ACUGAGACACGGCCCAGACUCCUACGGGAGGCAGCAGUAGGGAAUCUUCCGCAAUGGACGAAAGUCUGACGGAGCAACGCCGCGUGAGUGAUGAAGGUUUUCGGAUCGUAAAGCUCUGUUGUUAGGGAAAAACCAAGUGCGAGAGUAACUGCUCGCACCUUUGACGGUACCUAACCAAAAAGCCACGGCUAACUACGUGCCAGCAGCCCCCGGUAAUACGUAGGUGGCAAGCGUUGUCCGGAAUUAUUGGGCGUAAAGGGCUCGCCAGGCGGUUUCUUAAGUCUGAUGUGAAAGCCCCCGGCUCAACCCGGGAGGGUCAUUGGAAACUGGGAAACUUGAGUGCAGAAGAGGAGAGUGGAAUUCCCACGUGUAGCGGUGAAAUGCGUAGAGAUGUGGAGGAACACCAGUGGCGAAGGCGACUCUCUGGUCUGUAACUGACGCUGAGGAGCGAAAAGCGUGGGGGAGCGAACAGGAUUAGAUACCCUGGUAGUCCACGCCGUAAACGAUGAGUGCUAAGUGUUAGGGGGGUUUCCGCCCCUUAGUGCUGCAGCUAACGCAUUAAGCACUCCGCCUGGGGAGUACGGUCGCAAGACUGAAACUCAAAGGAAUUGACGGGGGCCCGCACAAGCGGUGGAGCAUGUGGUUUAAUUCGAAGCAACGCGAAGAACCUUACCAGGUCUUGACAUCCUCUGACAACCCUAGAGAUAGGGCUUUCCCUUCGGGGACAGAGUGACAGGUGGUGCAUGGUUGUCGUCAGCUCGUGUCGUGAGAUGUUGGGUUAAGUCCCGCAACGAGCGCAACCCUUGAUCUUAGUUGCCAGCAUUCAGUUGGGCACUCUAAGGUGACUGCCGGUGACAAACCGGAGGAAGGUGGGGAUGACGUCAAAUCAUCAUGCCCCUUAUGACCUGGGCUACACACGUGCUACAAUGGACAGAACAAAGGGCUGCAAGACCGCAAGGUUUAGCCAAUCCCAUAAAUCUGUUCUCAGUUCGGAUCGCAGUCUGCAACUAGACUGCGUGAAGCUGGAAUCGCUAGUAAUCGCGGAUCAGCAUGCCGCGGUGAAUACGUUCCCGGGCCUUGUAUCACACCGCCCGUCA
RNAcentral lists this ribosomal RNA (1097 nucleotides) under Bacillus pumilus. RNAcentral describes it as "bacterial SSU rRNA". It matches the Rfam family "Bacterial small subunit ribosomal RNA", at positions 318 to 1399 of the family's 1533-position model. Lineage: Bacteria; Bacillati; Bacillota; Bacilli; Caryophanales; Bacillaceae. The record is from RNAcentral.